UUCAAUAUCACACUCUUCUUUUAUUUUUAAAUUUAUUUUGUCAAGCCGCCAAAUUAAAAUAGUUUAUUUUAAAAGACAAUUGUAUAUAUCUCUUACGAUAUUCGAUCUAAUUAAAAAACUGAAACUACAAACUCUAUUAGUUUUCUUCAGGAACAGAAUGCUCCCCAUUACAUGGAUAAAAUAAAAAUAAGAGAGUACAUUACUGGUACACAAGACUCGAACGUAAUAAGAGAAAAUAAGAUCAAAACGCAAAACGAAACUAAGGUACUCUUAGUAACCAAAACCACACCAUUAUUAUAAACCAAACCUUUUUUCUCUCUCCCUACCUUUUACCUUUUAUUAAACCUGACACGUAUUAUUAUUAUUAUGACAAUUAAACUAUAUUUUUUGGACUACUUAUA
Non-coding RNA from Arachis ipaensis, 401 nucleotides. The record is from RefSeq and is a predicted model, not a curated record. NCBI's taxonomy places the organism in Eukaryota, Viridiplantae, Streptophyta, Magnoliopsida, Fabales, Fabaceae.